Molecule: microRNA, 21 nt
Filed under: Mus musculus (house mouse)
Lineage: Eukaryota; Metazoa; Chordata; Mammalia; Rodentia; Muridae
Description: mmu-miR-6397
Source: miRBase by way of RNAcentral
UGGAGACUUUCAGUGGAGUGA